This 413-nucleotide ribosomal RNA is filed under the name uncultured bacterium. Its description in RNAcentral is "bacterial SSU rRNA". It matches the Rfam family "Bacterial small subunit ribosomal RNA", at positions 108 to 518 of the family's 1533-position model. The record is from RNAcentral.
GCGUAACGCGUAUGCAACCGUACCUAUACAGGGAAGUAACCUUUCGAAAGGGAGACUAACACCCCAUAGUAUUGAUUUAAGGCAUCUUAGAUUAAUUAAAUAUUUAUAGGUAUAAGAUGGGCAUGCGCAUGAUUAGCUAGUUGGUAAGGUAACGGCUUACCAAGGCGACGAUCAUUAGGGGUUCUGAGAGGAAGGUCCCCCACACUGGUACUGAGACACGGACCAGACUCCUACGGGAGGCAGCAGUGAGGAAUAUUGGUCAAUGGGCGCAAGCCUGAACCAGCCAUGCCGCGUGCAAGGAAGACGGCCUUAUGGGUUGUAAACUGCUUUUACAUAAGACUAACCGUAUAUUUGCGAAUAUACCUGAAUGUAUUAUGAGAAUAAGGAUCGGCUAACUCCGUGCCAGCCGCCGC